RNAcentral lists this ribosomal RNA (173 nucleotides) under Microdesmus bahianus. RNAcentral describes it as "partial 12S rRNA". Lineage: Eukaryota; Metazoa; Chordata; Actinopteri; Gobiiformes; Gobiidae. The record is from RNAcentral.
CACCGCGGUUAUACGAGAGGCUCAAGCUGACAGACUCCGGCGUAAAGGGUGGCUAACAGUAAAUGAACAACAAACUAAGGCAGAACACCCUCAUGGCAGUUAUACGCACCCGAGGGCAGGAACAACCCAUUCGAAAGCGGCCUUAAUAACGUGAACCCACUAAAGCUAGGGAA